GGCUGGAUAGCUCAGUUGGUAGAGCACCGGAAUGGUUAUCCGGAGGUCGCAGGUUCAAACCCCGCUCCAGUCA
This 73-nucleotide transfer RNA is filed under the name Patiria miniata (bat star). RNAcentral's name for it is "tRNA-Thr". It matches the Rfam family "tRNA". Rfam says of the family: Transfer RNA (tRNA) molecules are approximately 80 nucleotides in length. The record is from Rfam by way of RNAcentral. Lineage: Eukaryota; Metazoa; Echinodermata; Asteroidea; Valvatida; Asterinidae.